Molecule: long non-coding RNA, 2532 nt
Organism: Trachemys scripta elegans
Lineage: Eukaryota; Metazoa; Chordata; Testudines; Emydidae
Exons: 4
Source: RefSeq, a predicted model, not a curated record
GGGCCAUGUAUAUGCACAGGGUUCAACUGGCUUGAAUUAUGGAAUCAGAAGCUCCUUUUGAAUCACUUUGAACUAAUCAGCCCUCUGGCCGCUUCAUGCUUGCCCUUCAGCUGCACCUUUUUACAGAUGCAGUCUCCAGUUCAACAAGUGGAAGCAGCAAAAGAUUUUGAUCAAUUAAUGUUCUCCACAAUGGGUGUAAGGAGUGCAGUCCUGUGCUCUUCCAACAAUGAACAGCUAAGGCCGUCAUCUUUGGGUUAGAUCUUCAUCUAAGGAGGUUACAGGUCCACGGUGUAGAACCUGUGUAUUUCCCACUGCACGAAAAUCAGACUCCCAGGGUUCCUAGAUCUACAGCGUUGCCUGUCAUUUACAUGCAAAGGAGGAAGCUGCCUACAAGGAAUGUAGUAAUAGCUGCAUGCAGGAAGUAGCUAGGAUAUGAGAUUAUUGUAAAAGGGCAAGUGCAUUGGGCAACAUUUGAAAGUUCUGAAGCUUGUUUUUGUUUUUUUUUUAAACCUCACAGGUGGAUGGGGGGAGGGGAGGGAAGAAAAAGCAAAACACCCAAGUAGGAGUUUGUCUUCCAACUGUAGCUAGAAAAGCUCUUUAGAUGGCAUAUAUUUAUCAACAUGGCACUUAGUGAGCUAUUACAGAUUGAUAUUUCCUAAGGACUUUGUCUCUUGAUCAACCUUUCUUUUACAGGUGGGAUACCCAAAGUUUGCCCAAAUAAGGACUACUGCAUCUAAUAGGUAGAAAAUGGGGCAGACCAUGACUACUGUCUUCUGGCUAAUAUAGAGCAGCACUUGCUGGGACUUGCAGUCUCUGUGGGCCAUGUCUCCAUAUCAAAGAUGAUAUGUCACUGUGAGCUGCAUUUUAGAUCCUAUUGGGCUAUUUUUGCUCAUUGGCUCUUUUACCAGAGAUCUUGGUCAGGACCCUCACUGGAAAAGUAUCUACAGGGAAACACUGUUUCCAUUUGAUAUUGCACUGGACAGGGGGAAUUGUCAGCUCACACUGACAGAUCUCACCAUUGAAGAUAACUGAGAAGGAAAAGAAUUCCUUUUCUUUUCAGAAAGAAAACAUAAGCACUACGUCUCUCCUGACAGCACCAUGUUAGGCGUAGGUGUGACCUUGAGCAGACAAAGGAGGCAUUUACUGCAGUUCACCGUUACAGCUUCAAGUCAGACUUUGAAAUCUUUAAGAUCACAAUAUUGUGGCCACAAAACAAAGAGGCGGCAUGCAGCAAAAAAUGGCAGCUGGCGAAAAACCAUAAAUCUCAGUGUGGGUAUGUGUGUGCGAGGGCUUGUGUGUGUGCUCUUUGUAUACAGGGAUGGAAGUUUGCACACCUCUGUAAAGCACUGACAUUAAGGCCCUGCUGCGUUAAUAAAGUCCAGACAUCCUCCUGCAGCAACAGAAAGGUCUCCUCAAUUGUUCUGCACAUUGCAUCCCCUCCUCAGCCUCGUCAGUCACCAUCUUCAUGCUGUUAGCCAUUCCUGUCAAAUCAAUACAGGAGGCACCAGGGAAAUGCAGGCAAAUGAACUUGCAUUAGAGUCCUGCUGCCCCAAAAUCAUCUGGUGUGCAGGUGUGCGGUUCCUCUGCCAGGGUCUUCAUUAGAAACAGGACUCCUGGGAUUCUGGGUCAUUGUGGAUGGGAAGCUUCUCGUGUUCCUGAUGAUGCCCAUUAUGUAAAACUGUGUACCUAGGAGGAGGGGAAAGCAAAAACAAAUAGGAGUCACUAGAACAAAUUAAAAAGGAUGGGCUGAGCCUUUUCUUUUCUCAGGAGAGUCUGAGACCUAGGCAGGUUGACUUCAGAGUGCUCCUAAUAUCCCGUUUCCCUGCUCCACCUGCCAAGUAAAAUGUAAAUCCAAACCAUGUUCAUGAUGGCAGAAGAUGACUGUGACUAUAAUGUUAACCCCAACCCCUGCAAAGUAGGAACCUGCCGGUUCAUGUCGAACUGAGCUAUAACAAGUACCAUAAGAAACCAAGCUAAUGAAUUAGGAGACCCGGGAUUCUGGGGUGGAUGUUGGUGACUGAGUUGUCAACACAGAAUUGAAUCUCUUUAAAGCAAGUAUUAAAAAAUCACUUUGCUUUGGCUUGGAAUGCAUGUGUCCUUUAAAGUGACCCAGAGACCUGCCCUCUGAAUCAUGUGAACCAUACACUAAAAACAACUGAUUGCUAGUAAUCUCAGUUCUUUUAGUACAACUGUCCUGAAUACUGAUCAUUUCAUGUCCAAUUAGAUCAUUGCCAUGCAGGAUUACAACCUUCUGGAGACUCCUGAAAUACACACACUUCCCCGAUUGAAAAAUGAGAGCAUUCUGCAGGCUAAACUCCAAUUCAUAUUCACAAAUUACUGAUUUCCUGCAGACUCUGGGCCCUAACUGAUGGUGCUGUAAAUGAAGGAUGGAUAGGGGUCACCUCCCAGACUGCUGCACUGGGCAGCACAGCAUGGGGAAGAGGAGACCAGCCUUCUGAGGAGAAAGAAGCGGUUCAGGACUAUUUAGAAAAGCUGGACGAGCACAAGUCCAUGGGGCCAGAUGCGCUGCAU